RNAcentral lists this long non-coding RNA (578 nucleotides) under Homo sapiens (human). Lineage: Eukaryota; Metazoa; Chordata; Mammalia; Primates; Hominidae. The record is from RNAcentral.
UGACAAUUAAGCCUUAUAUGUCACAGUGUGAAGUAGGGACACAGGCACUCGGUGCACAGCUGCUGUAAACCAGCCAGAACCAGUCCAUGGUCGGUGACCUCAACAGGAGACAGAAAAACUGAGAAAGCAGUACUGGAAUCCCACAAGCCCCACACCACUUUCUGAUGCCGUGAACGUUUUUCCUGGUGUGGUGCAUCUGCCUCAGUCAUAGAAGCAGUGUUGGUAAUCAGCAUCGUGGAGGCGGCGUCAGUGGUCAGCGUCGUGGAGGUGGCGUCGGUGGUCAGCAUCGUGGAGGCCAGGUCAGUGGUCAGCGUCGUGGAGGUGGCAUCGGUAGUCAGUGUGGUGGAGGCAGCGUUGGUAAUCAGCGUUGUGGAGGCCACGUUGGUAGAGUCAUGGAGGCAGUGUCGGUAAUCAGCGUUGUGGAGGCAGCGUCGUUAGUCAGCGUCAUGGAGGCGGCGUUGGUGGUCACUGUCGUGGAGGCCACGUUGAUAGCAUCAUGGAGGCAGCGUCGGUAGUCAGCGUCGUGGGGGCGGCGUCGGUAGUCAGCGUCGUGGAGGCAGUGUCGGUAGCGUCGUGGA